CCUACGGGGGGCAGCAGUGGGGAAUAUUGCACAAUGGGGGAAACCCUGAUGCAGCGACGCCGCGUGAAGGAAGAAGGUUUUCGGAUCGUAAACUUCUAUCAGCAGGGAAGAAGAAAGUGACAGUACCUGACUAAGAAGCCCCGGCUAACUACGUGCCAGCAGCCGCGGUAAUACGUAGGGGGCGAGCGUUAUCCGGAAUCACUGGGCGUAAAGGGUGCGUAGGCGGCUAAGUAAGCCAGGGGUGAAAGGCUACGGCUCAACCGUAGUAAGCCUUUGGAACUACUUAGCUUGAGUGCAGGAGAGGAGAGUGGAAUUCCUAGUGUAGCGGUGAAAUGCGUAGAUAUUAGGAAGAACACCAGUGGCGAAGGCGGCUUUCUGGACUGUAACUGACGCUGAGGCACGAAAGCGUGGGGAGCGAACAGGAUUAGAUACCCCGGUAGUC
This 442-nucleotide ribosomal RNA is filed under the name uncultured bacterium. Its description in RNAcentral is "bacterial SSU rRNA". It matches the Rfam family "Bacterial small subunit ribosomal RNA", at positions 338 to 795 of the family's 1533-position model. The record is from RNAcentral.